Molecule: ribosomal RNA, 506 nt
Filed under: uncultured bacterium
Lineage: Bacteria
Description: partial 16S ribosomal RNA
Rfam family: Bacterial small subunit ribosomal RNA
Source: RNAcentral
AGUGAACGCUGGCGGUAGGCCUAACACAUGCAAGUCGAACGGCAGCACAGAGGAGCUUGCUCCUUGGGUGGCGAGUGGCGGACGGGUGAGGAAUACAUCGGAAUCGACUCUGUCGUGGGGGAUAACGUAGGGAAACUUACGCUAAUACCGCAUACGACCUACGGGUGAAAGCAGGGGACCUUCGGGCCUUGCGCGAUUGAAUGAGCCAAUGUCGGAUUAGCGAGUUGGCGGGGUAAAGGCCCACCAAGGCGACGAUCCGUAGCUGGUCUGAGAGGAUGAUCAGCCACACUGGAACUGAGACACGGCCCAGACUCCUACGGGAGGCAGCAGUGGGGAAUAUUGGACAAUGGGCGCAAGCCUGAUCCAGCCAUACCGCGUGGGUGAAGAAGGCCUUCGGGUUGUAAAGCCCUUUUGUUGGGAAAGAAAUCCAGCUGGCUAAUACCCGGUUGGGAUGACGGUACCCAAAGAAUAAGCACCGGCUAACUUCGUGCCAGCAGCCGCCGUAA